ACCAUGGCUCAGAGAUAGAGCCUCCGCUUGGCAUGCAGAUGGUCCCAGGUUCAACCCCCAGUAUAACCA
Molecule: transfer RNA, 69 nt
Filed under: Sphaerodactylus townsendi
Lineage: Eukaryota; Metazoa; Chordata; Lepidosauria; Squamata; Sphaerodactylidae
Description: tRNA-Ala
Source: RNAcentral